RNAcentral lists this ribosomal RNA (386 nucleotides) under uncultured bacterium. RNAcentral's name for it is "bacterial SSU rRNA". It matches the Rfam family "Bacterial small subunit ribosomal RNA", at positions 29 to 417 of the family's 1533-position model. The record is from RNAcentral.
AUUGAACGCUGGCGGCGUGCUUAACACAUGCAAGUCGAGCGGCAGCGGGCCCGCAAGGGUGCCGGCGAGCGGCGGACGGGUGAGCAAUACAUAGGAAUCUGCCUCAGAGCGGGGGAUAGCCAGGGGAAACCCUGAUUAAUACCGCAUGACGUCGAGAGACCAAAGUGGGGGACCGUAAGGCCCCACACUCUGAGAUGAGCCUAUGUCGGAUUAGCUAGNGGCGGGGUAACGGCCCACCAAGGCGACGAUCCGUAGCUGGUCUGAGAGGACGAUCAGCCACACCGGAACUGAGACACGGUCCGGACUCCUACGGGAGGCAGCAGUGGGGAAUAUUGGACAAUGGGCGAAAGCCUGAUCCAGCGACGCCGCGUGGGUGAAGAAGGCCU